RNAcentral lists this ribosomal RNA (1162 nucleotides) under uncultured bacterium. RNAcentral's name for it is "bacterial SSU rRNA". It matches the Rfam family "Bacterial small subunit ribosomal RNA", at positions 42 to 1164 of the family's 1533-position model. The record is from RNAcentral.
GUGUGCCUAACACAUGCAAGUCGAGCGAAAUCUUCUUAUCUGAUGCUUCAGGGAUCAAUAACGGCGUCGAGCGGGGGAUGGGGGAGGAAUGCCCAGGAGAUUGCCCUGGUGUGGGCCCAUAACCAUUGGAAAGUAUGGCUUAUAUGCCUCAACACCAACUGGCCUCUGAUGGGGACCUUCGGGCCUCUCACGUCUGGCUAUGCCUCGGUGGGAUUAUGGACUUGGUGAAGGAACGGCUCACCUGGGACUGAAUCCCUGCCUGGACUGAUACGAUGAUCAGCCGCGCUGGAUCUGACACACUGACCAAACUCCUGCCGCAGGCACCCCUGGUGAGUAUUGACCAAUGUGCGCUUGCCUGAUGCUUCCAUGCCGCGUGAUGAGGAAAGGACCUCCGGUUGAUAAACCCCUUUCAGUACGUGACGAACGUAGUGUAUUAUAAUAUCUGCAUUGAUUGACGUUCGCAACAGAUGAACCUCCAGAGUAUCUCCGGGCCAGCAGCCGCGGUUAUACGGAGGGUGCGAGCUCUUACUCGGAAUUACUGUCCGUACUGCUCAUGCUAGUGGUCUGUUAAGUCAGAUGUGAUAUCCCGGUGCUCAGUCUCAUACUUGCAUUUGAAACUGGAAGACUAUUGUACUGGACAGCUGCGUAGACUUUCACGUGUACCGAGGACGUGCGUUCAGAUCUGAAACACUAUUAGUGGCCAAUGCAGUCCUGUGCACAGAUACUGACACUUAGAUGUCAAAGCGAGCGGAGCACUCAGGAUCAUAUACACUGCGAGUACACGUCGUACUCGAUGUCUACCUGGACGAUGUGACCUUCAACCGAGUCUACUGGAGCUCACGCGAUCAGUAGACUAUCUGGUUAGUACGGAUCGCACACUCAGACUCUUACGAAUUGAUGACGUCCCGGCACAAUCCUUGGAGCCAGUGGAUUUACUUCCAUGCACCCGCCUGACAGCGUUACCUACUGCUUGACAUCCACAUGACUUUUCCAGAUAUUGGGGUUGAAGUCCUUCGAGAAACUCUGAGACCAAGGGCUUUAUGGGCUUAUCGUUCCCUUUGGGGUGCUCAAAGGGUGGGCCUUAAGUUGCCAAACCGGAAGGAAACCUUUGAUCCUUUGUUUUGCCUCCUCGGUGACGCUUUGGAUACCCCGGGGGAAACCC